CUUAGAGUCCUACUUGGAUACCUGUGGUAAUUCUAGAGCUAAUACACGCAUUCAAACCCCAACCUGACGGACGGGGUGCAUUUAUUAGAACAAAACCAAUUGGCUUUGGCCAUAAAUUGGUGAAUCUGAAUAACUACGCUGAUCGCAUGGUCUAGUACCGGCGACAUAUCCUUCGAGUGUCUGCCUUAUCAACUGUCGAUGGUAGUCUAUAAGCAUGGUUGUAUAAGCAUGGUUCUAUAAGCAUGGUUCUAUAAGCAUGGUUCUAUAAGCAUGGUAUAAGCAUGGUUCCAUAAGCAUGGUAUAAGCAUGGUUCUAUAAGCAUGGUUAUAUCAUGGUUGUAACGGGUAACGGAGAAUAAGGGUUCGACUCCGGAGAGGGAGCCUGAGAAACGGCUACCACAUCCAAGGAAGGCAGCAGGCGCGCAAAUUACCCACUCUCAGAACGAGGAGGUAGUGACAAUGUAAGUUUGCUGAGUAAUCAGUUUCAAACUAAAAAAUUAAAUCGAAAUAGUGGCCUAACUCUUGCAUUUUUGCAUUAUUAUUAACAGAAAUAACAAUGCCGGGCCUCUGUAGGUCU
This 576-nucleotide ribosomal RNA is filed under the name uncultured eukaryote. RNAcentral describes it as "partial 18S ribosomal RNA". The stretch from base 1 to 459 matches the Rfam family "Eukaryotic small subunit ribosomal RNA", at positions 126 to 473 of the family's 1831-position model. The record is from RNAcentral.